GCAGUCGAGCGGAGAUUUGAAAAGCUUGCUUUUCAAUCUUAGCGGCGGACGGGUGAGUAACACGUGGGCAACCUGCCCUUGAGACGGGGAUAACUCCGGGAAACCGGAGCUAAUACCGGAUAACACAUAUCUUCGCAUGAGGAUAUGUUAGAAGGUGGCUUUUAGCUACCACUCAAGGAUGGGCCCGCGGCGCAUUAGCUAGUUGGUGAGGUAACGGCUCACCAAGGCGACGAUGCGUAGCCGACCUGAGAGGGUGAUCGGCCACACUGGGACUGAGACACGGCCCAGACUCCUACGGGAGGCAGCAGUAGGGAAUCUUCCGCAAUGGACGAAAGUCUGACGGAGCAACGCCGCGUGAGUGAUGAAGGUUUUCGGAUCGUAAAGCUCUGUUGUUAGGGAAGAACAAGUACCUGUUAAAUAAGCAGGUACCUUGACGGUACCUAACCAGAAAGCCACGGCUAACUACGUGCCAGCAGCCGCGGUAAUACGUAGGUGGCAAGCGUUGUCCGGAAUUAUUGGGCGUAAAGCGCGCGCAGGCGGUUCCUUAAGUCUGAUGUGAAAGCCCACGGCUCAACCGUGGAGGGUCAUUGGAAACUGGGGAACUUGAGUGCAGAAGAGGAGAGCGGAAUUCCACGUGUAGCGGUGAAAUGCGUAGAGAUGUGGAGGAACACCAGUGGCGAAGGCGGCUCUCUGGUCUGUAACUGACGCUGAGGCGCGAAAGCGUGGGGAGCGAACAGGAUUAGAUACCCUGGUAGUCCACGCCGUAAACGAUGAGUGCUAAGUGGUUAAAAGGGUUUCCGCCCCUUUAGUGCUGCAGCAAACGCAUUAAGCACUCCGCCCGGGGGGAGUACGGUCGCAAGACUGAAACUCAAAGGGAAUUGACGGGGACCCGCACAAGCGGUGGAGCCAUGGUGGUUUAAUUCGAAGCAACGCGAAGAACCUUACCAGGUCUUGACAUCCUCUGCUACUUCUA
RNAcentral lists this ribosomal RNA (973 nucleotides) under Priestia endophytica. RNAcentral describes it as "bacterial SSU rRNA". It matches the Rfam family "Bacterial small subunit ribosomal RNA", at positions 57 to 1002 of the family's 1533-position model. Lineage: Bacteria; Bacillati; Bacillota; Bacilli; Caryophanales; Bacillaceae. The record is from RNAcentral.